AGAGUUUGAUCAUGGCUCAGGAUGAACGCUAGCGGCAGGCUUAACACAUGCAAGUCGAGGGGCAGCGCGAUGUAGCAAUACAUUGGCGGCGACCGGCGGAAGGGUGCGUAACGCGUGAGCAACAUGCCCGUCACAGGGGGAUAAUCCAUGGAAACGUGGUCUAAAACCGCAUAGAUUAUAGAGAAGACAUCUUUUUUAUAAGAAAUCAGCAAUGAGGUGACGGAUUGGCUCGCGUAACAUUAGCCAGUUGGUAGGGUAACGGCCUACCAAAGCGACGAUGUUUAGGGGUCCUGAGAGGGAGGUCCCCCACACUGGAACUGAGACACGGUCCAGACUCCUACGGGAGGCAGCAGUGAGGAAUAUUGGACAAUGGAUGGAAAUCUGAUCCAGCCAUGCCGCGUGCGGGAUGACGGCCCUAUGGGUUGUAAACCGCUUUUGUACGGGAGCAAUAAGGUGUGCGUGUACACCGAUGAGAGUACUGUACGAAUAAGCAUCGGCUAACUCCGUGCCAACAGCCGCGGUAAUACGGAGGAUGCAAGCGUUAUCCGGAUUUAUUGGGUUUAAAGGGUGCGUAGGCGGGAGAUCAAGUCUGUGGUGAAAAGUUCGGGCCUAACCCGGAUCGUGCCAUGGAAACUGGUUUUCUUGAAUAGUGGUGCCGUUGGCGGAAUGUGAAGUGUAGCGGUGAAAUGCUUAGAUAUUACACAGAACACCGAUUGCGAAAGCAGCUGACGAACCACCGAUUGACGCUGAUGCACGAAAGUGCGGGUAUCGAACAGGAUUAGAUACCCUGGUAGUCCGCACAGUAAACGAUGACAACUAGCUGUUGGCGAUAUACGGUUCAGUAGCGUAGCGAAAGCGUUAAGUUGUCCACCUGGGGAGUACGACCGCAAGGUUGAAACUCAAAGGAAUUGACGGGGGCCCGCACAAGCGGAGGAACAUGUGGUUUAAUUCGACGCAACGCGAAGAACCUUACCAGGGCUUGACAUCGACUGAAAGAUGCAGAGAUGUAUCCCUCUCUUCGGAGACAGGAAGACAGGUGGUGCAUGGCUGUCGUCAGCUCGUGUCGUGAGAUGUUGGGUUAAGUCCCGCAACGAGCGCAACCCCUAUCCUAUGUUACCAUCAUUGAGUUGGGGACUCAUAGGAGACUGCCAGGGACAACCUGGAGGAAGGCGGGGAUGACGUCAAGUCAUCAUGCCCCUUAUGUCCUGGGCUACACACGUACUACAAUGGCCGGCAACAGAGGGAAGCGAAGCCGCGAGGCGGAGCGAACCCCAAAAACCCGGUCCCAGUUCGGAUCGCAGGCUGCAACCCGCCUGCGUGAAGUCGGAAUCGCUAGUAAUCGCAGGUCAGCAUACUGCGGUGAAUACGUUCCCGGGCCUUGUACACACCGCCCGUCACACCACGAAAGUUGGUAACACCCGAAGCCGGUGGGGUAACCGUAAGGAGCCAGCCGUCUAAGGUGGGGCCGAUGAUUGGGGUGAAGUCGUAACAAGGUAACCGUA
RNAcentral lists this ribosomal RNA (1502 nucleotides) under uncultured rumen bacterium. RNAcentral's name for it is "partial 16S ribosomal RNA". It matches the Rfam family "Bacterial small subunit ribosomal RNA". The record is from RNAcentral.